Acanthosepion pharaonis is the source of this 114-nucleotide non-coding RNA. The record is from the annotation of a GenBank genome assembly. NCBI's taxonomy places the organism in Eukaryota, Metazoa, Mollusca, Cephalopoda, Sepiida, Sepiidae.
UUAUGGCCACAGCCCGUUGAAACAUCGGUUCCCGUACGAUCACCAAAGUUAAGCAACUUCAAGCCUUGAGAAUACCUCGAUGGGUGAUUGCUUAAGAAUACCAGGUGCUGUAAG